RNAcentral lists this transfer RNA (72 nucleotides) under Marmota monax (woodchuck). RNAcentral's name for it is "tRNA.Asp". Lineage: Eukaryota; Metazoa; Chordata; Mammalia; Rodentia; Sciuridae. The record is from RNAcentral.
AGGGGUUUAGCUCAAUGAUAGAGCACUUGCGUAUCAUGUGCGAGGACCUGGGUUUGAUCCCCAGCACCUCAA